RNAcentral lists this ribosomal RNA (253 nucleotides) under uncultured bacterium. Its description in RNAcentral is "partial 16S ribosomal RNA". It matches the Rfam family "Bacterial small subunit ribosomal RNA", at positions 524 to 776 of the family's 1533-position model. The record is from RNAcentral.
UACGUAGGUGGCAAGCGUUGCUCGGAAUCACUGGGCGUAAAGGGCGCGUAGGCGGCGUGACAAGUCACUUGUGAAAUCUCCGGGCUUAACUCGGAACGGUCAAGUGAUACUGUUGUGCUAGAGUACAGAAGGGGCAAUCGGAAUUCUUGGUGUAGCGGUGAAAUGCGUAGAUAUCAAGAGGAACACCAGAGGCGAAGGCGGAUUGCUGGGCUGAUACUGACGCUGAGGCGCGAAAGCUAGGGUAGCAAACGGG